RNAcentral lists this ribosomal RNA (1629 nucleotides) under Salmonella enterica. Its description in RNAcentral is "partial 23S ribosomal RNA". It matches the Rfam family "Bacterial large subunit ribosomal RNA", at positions 1210 to 2821 of the family's 2925-position model. The record is from RNAcentral. Lineage: Bacteria; Pseudomonadati; Pseudomonadota; Gammaproteobacteria; Enterobacterales; Enterobacteriaceae.
GACACUAUGUGUUGUUGGGUAGGGGAGCGUUCUGUAAGCCUGUGAAGGUGUGUCGUGAGGCAUGCUGGAGGUAUCAGAAGUGCGAAUGCUGACAUAAGUAACGAUAAAGCGGGUGAAAAGCCCGCUCGCCGGAAGACCAAGGGUUCCUGUCCAACGUUAAUCGGGGCAGGGUGAGUCGACCCCUAAGGCGAGGCCGAAAGGCGUAGUCGAUGGGAAACGGGUUAAUAUUCCCGUACUUGGUGUUACUGCGAAGGGGGGACGGAGAAGGCUAUGUUGGCCGGGCGACGGUUGUCCCGGUUUAAGCGUGUAGGUGUGUGUUCCAGGUAAAUCCGGUUCACUUUAACACUGAGGCGUGACGACGAGGCACUACGGUGCUGAAGCAACAAAUGCCCUGCUUCCAGGAAAAGCCUCUAAGCAUCAGGUAACAUCAAAUCGUACCCCAAACCGACACAGGUGGUCAGGUAGAGAAUACCAAGGCGCUUGAGAGAACUCGGGUGAAGGAACUAGGCAAAAUGGUGCCGUAACUUCGGGAGAAGGCACGCUGACACGUAGGUGAAGUGAUUUACUCAUGGAGCUGAAGUCAGUCGAAGAUACCAGCUGGCUGCAACUGUUUAUUAAAAACACAGCACUGUGCAAACACGAAAGUGGACGUAUACGGUGUGACGCCUGCCCGGUGCCGGAAGGUUAAUUGAUGGGGUCAGCGCAAGCGAAGCUCCUGAUCGAAGCCCCGGUAAACGGCGGCCGUAACUAUAACGGUCCUAAGGUAGCGAAAUUCCUUGUCGGGUAAGUUCCGACCUGCACGAAUGGCGUAAUGAUGGCCAGGCUGUCUCCACCCGAGACUCAGUGAAAUUGAACUCGCUGUGAAGAUGCAGUGUACCCGCGGCAAGACGGAAAGACCCCGUGAACCUUUACUAUAGCUUGACACUGAACAUUGAGCCUUGAUGUGUAGGAUAGGUGGGAGGCUUUGAAGUGUGGACGCCAGUCUGCAUGGAGCCGACCUUGAAAUACCACCCUUUAAUGUUUGAUGUUCUAACGUGGACCCGUGAUCCGGGUUGCGGACAGUGUCUGGUGGGUAGUUUGACUGGGGCGGUCUCCUCCUAAAGAGUAACGGAGGAGCACGAAGGUUGGCUAAUCCUGGUCGGACAUCAGGAGGUUAGUGCAAUGGCAUAAGCCAGCUUGACUGCGAGCGUGACGGCGCGAGCAGGUGCGAAAGCAGGUCAUAGUGAUCCGGUGGUUCUGAAUGGAAGGGCCAUCGCUCAACGGAUAAAAGGUACUCCGGGGAUAACAGGCUGAUACCGCCCAAGAGUUCAUAUCGACGGCGGUGUUUGGCACCUCGAUGUCGGCUCAUCACAUCCUGGGGCUGAAGUAGGUCCCAAGGGUAUGGCUGUUCGCCAUUUAAAGUGGUACGCGAGCUGGGUUUAGAACGUCGUGAGACAGUUCGGUCCCUAUCUGCCGUGGGCGCUGGAGAACUGAGGGGGGCUGCUCCUAGUACGAGAGGACCGGAGUGGACGCAUCACUGGUGUUCGGGUUGUCAUGCCAAUGGCACUGCCCGGUAGCUAAAUGCGGAAGAGAUAAGUGCUGAAAGCAUCUAAGCACGAAACUUGCCCCGAGAUGAGUUCUCCCUGAGAC